AGUUGAUCUGGCUCAGGAUGAACGCUAGCGACAGGCUACACAUGCAAGUCGAGGGGCAGCAUGGGAGUAGCAAUACGAACUGGUGGCGACCGGCGCACGGGUGAGUAACGCGUAUGCAACCUACCUAUCAGAGGGGAAUAACCCGGCGAAAGUCGGACUAAUACCGCAUAAAACAGGGGCACCGCAUGGUGAUAUUUGUUAAAGAAAUUCGCUGAUAGAUGGGCAUGCGUUCCAUUAGGUAGUUGGUGAGGUAACGGCCCACCAAGCCGACGAUGGAUAGGGGAACUGAGAGGUUGGUCCCCCACACUGGUACUGAGACACGGACCAGACUCCUACGGGAGGCAGCAGUGAGGAAUAUUGGUCAAUGGGCGGGAGCCUGAACCAGCCAAGUCGCGUGGAAAAGGAAGAAGGAUCUAUGGUUCGUAAACUUCUUUUGCAGGGGAAUAAAGUGCAGGACGUGUCCUGUUUUGUAUGUACCCUGAGAGUAAGGAUCGGCUAACUCCGUGCCAGCAGCCGC
This 517-nucleotide ribosomal RNA is filed under the name uncultured bacterium. RNAcentral's name for it is "bacterial SSU rRNA". It matches the Rfam family "Bacterial small subunit ribosomal RNA", at positions 10 to 518 of the family's 1533-position model. The record is from RNAcentral.